RNAcentral lists this ribosomal RNA (513 nucleotides) under uncultured bacterium. RNAcentral's name for it is "partial 16S ribosomal RNA". It matches the Rfam family "Bacterial small subunit ribosomal RNA", at positions 28 to 523 of the family's 1533-position model. The record is from RNAcentral.
GACGAAUGCUGGCGGCGUGCCUAAUACAUGCAAGUUGAGCGAUGAAGAUUGGUGCUUGCACCAAUUUGAAGAGCAGCGAACGGGUGAGUAACGCGUGGGGAAUCUGCCUUUGAGCGGGGGACAACAUUUGGAAACGAAUGCUAAUACCGCAUAACAACUUUAAACAUAAGGUUUAAGUUUGAAAGAUGCAAUUGCAUCACUCAAAGAUGAUCCCGCGUUGUAUUAUCUAGUUGGUUGAGUAAAGGCUAGCCAAGGCGAUGAUACAUAGCCGACCUGAGAGGGUGAUCGGCCACAUUGGGACUGAGACACGGCCCAAACUCCUACGGGAGGCAGCAGUAGGGAAUCUUCGGCAAUGGACGAAAGUCUGACCGAGCAACGCCGCGUGAGUGAAGAAGGUUUUCGGAUCGUAAAACUCUGUUGGUAGAGAAGAACGUUAGUGAGAGUGGAAAGCUCAUCAAGUGACGGUAACUACCCAGAAAGGGACGGCUAACUACGUGCCAGCCGCCGCCGUAA